This 770-nucleotide long non-coding RNA is filed under the name Citrus sinensis (sweet orange). Its description in RNAcentral is "long non-coding RNA (CSIN_LNC005561)". Lineage: Eukaryota; Viridiplantae; Streptophyta; Magnoliopsida; Sapindales; Rutaceae. The record is from RNAcentral.
AUCCAAAUAUAAAUUAUCCAAAUAUUAAACAACCAUCAUCUGUAAUCCACAAUUAGAACAAUUAUGCAUAUGAAAAUGUAGGUGCAUAAUAUAAUAAGGAACCAUGGUAAUUUAAAAUACCCAAAAUGCACAAAUUCGGUUUUGUAAAAUAAUGAGUGAAAUGGAUUAUUUUAAACCGAUUAUAUUGAUCCAAGAGAUGAUUUAAGAUAAUGGAUGGUGUUGAUUGGAUCAAAAGUGGACUAAAAAGAGCUUAAAUUGGAAGAGAAAGAAAUGGGUAAGUUAGGUUUUUGAUUUUGGGUUUUAUGUGGAGAGAUAAUGAAAUCAAGUUUUGAGAGUGAAAAUUGAAGGAGUAAUGGAUGAAUAAUGAGUUGGAUGAUUGAUUUUGGCAAGAGAAUGAGUGAAAGAUGAAGAAAUUUGAGAGAGAAAUGAAGAGGUACUGUUCACGUGUGAGAGAUGAUGAUGAAAUGAUGAAGAACAAGUGAAGAAAUGAAGAUUGGGAAGUGUUUAAUGAGAGUGAAAUGCAUGAUUAUUGGUUUGAAUGAUUAAUUUUGGCAUAAAAAUGAUUGAGAAAUGAAGAGAAAUUGAUUGGAAAUGGAAGAGAGUAGCUCACGGUUUUGAAGAGAGAAAGAACAAGUGCAGAAAAAUAACGAAGGAAGAAGAAGAAGCAAAAAAAAAUUUACUCCAACCCGUGACCAAGCGGCUAGCCGCUUGGGGCAGGCGGCUAGCCGCCUCAUGGCUGCCCAUCUGCACCAAUUGUUUUGAUCUCCGGC